Molecule: ribosomal RNA, 254 nt
Filed under: uncultured bacterium
Lineage: Bacteria
Description: partial 16S ribosomal RNA
Rfam family: Bacterial small subunit ribosomal RNA
Source: RNAcentral
UACGUAGGGGGCGAGCGUUGUCCGGAUUCAUUGGGCGUAAAGAGCUCGUAGGCGGUUCAGCAAGUCGGGUGUGAAACCUCCAGGCUCAACCUGGAGACGCCACCCGAUACUGCUGUGACUUGAGUCCGGUAGGGGACCACGGAAUUCCUGGUGUAGCGGUGAAAUGCGCAGAUAUCAGGAGGAACACCGGUGGCGAAGGCGGUGGUCUGGGCCGGCACUGACGCUGAGGAGCGAAAGCGUGGGGAGCGAACAGG